Molecule: long non-coding RNA, 2221 nt
Filed under: Homo sapiens (human)
Lineage: Eukaryota; Metazoa; Chordata; Mammalia; Primates; Hominidae
Description: HSALNT0039242
Source: RNAcentral
UUUGACUUAGGAGAGAAAUGAGCUCAGCUGAUCCACCAUCUGUUACUAGGUUGGGAAUUGGAAAACACCGGACUUGGAUCACCGUCUUCAAUUGGAACAAGCAUACAUUGGAAGACUUUCUAAGACCUUUUGCUCAAGGGCAAACCUUAUUCUCAGAUUGGAUCAAGUUGAGAAGCCCAUGAAGUAUUGUCACCAAGCAUACAGGAGGAAAAAACAGUGAUUUUAUUUGCUGUUAUUGAAUGCCCUGAAUUUAAUUAAGUCCUCUCUUACACUUUCUCGCUUCUCUGAAGCCACUCAGAAGGGGAGACAGGUGGCAGGACGCACAAGGAAUUUUGCCGCACUGGGUUGAAAAGCAUCAUGAAAGCAUUUCAGGUUCUUUGGCAAGUGCCUCUGUUCCCUCCAAGGGCUCUGCUGACAGUCUUCUCUCCUGCUCCACUUGUCACACUGGGGGCUGCUGCUGUUACUCUGGGUGUGCCACACCAUACAGGGUGCCUCUGCUGCUCUGCAUUGCCUCUUUGGCCUUGUCGGAUGCCACAGACCAUGUCUGGUGUCUACUGCUGGUCUGCUAGAACCUCACCAGACUCCCUGGCCACACAUACAGUCUAAAUCCCAUUGUGAUGUUCUGUGCUGCCAAGUAUUGUGCUUUGGGAUCAAAGUGUUGAGAAGGACAGUGACUCUUUCAAAUGUCAUUCCAUUGGGGUCAACUCUAGUGAUUUCUCACUGUAUUUGACAGUUUAGUGCAAGAGCUCUCUCAGUUUUUAGAGUCAUACGUUUCCCUGUACACAUUCAUAGAGCUGGGGAGAGUGAGCAAUAGCCAAGACAUUGCUGAAAUCACAAUGUGGAACUCCUCAAGGCUAUGCAUGUACAUUAUUGCAAAGAAUAAGGCUUUGUUCCUCAUCCAUCCUCUGGUAGUCACAGCUUUAUUUUAAUUAGAGCUGUUUCCAUAAAGCUAGCAUAGAGAUAUGUGUCUGUCUACAGGACGAGUUCGUGAGAUGUGCCCAAAGCAAUGGUAAAUAAGGCUUGAGUUUUCUAGGAGGCAAUUCAGUCCUUCUGCAAAUAGAUCCUCACCUCUGCUGCUACAUUUGGUAUGCACUUUUACCUUGGCAUGCACCACGGUGCCCUGUGAUUAUUAAUUUACUUCCAUGUCUUGGUCUUCAUGUCUCUCUGUAGAUCUUUAAGGGCAGGGACAAUACAUUAUUCAACUUUAUUUAAAAAUUCUAACAUCUAUCCUAGUGUUAGAUACUGAGCAAACAUGCAGCAAAUGUGUCCUGUAUAAAUGAAACAAGUCAUAUUCCAAUUUUUUUGUUUUCCUCCUGGUUUUACUUAAUGAAACUCAUUGAACUAAAAAUAUCUAAUCUUUAUAUUCCUCCAGCAAACUAUGAGACUUAGUCCAUUUUAGAUUCUUAUUAAAAUUUACUGAAUUGCCUUUUUUGGUAUUCAUAAAUGUAUGAAAGUGACUUACCAAUUAGUGAUAAUUAUUAUUAAUUGCUUAUUAAUAGAUUAUAAUUGGAGCCCAGCACAUAUUGUUACAGGCCUUAUCAUAUUUCAGGCAACACUUCGAUUUUAAAACAAACAUUAAAAAAAAUUCUUAUUUGAUGACUCUGAGGAUAGACCUCCCACCAUAAGCCUUUAUCCAUGCUAGAGUGGAAUAGACAGAUGCAUUUCAUUUACAGCGUAAGAUAAAAUUGCUCUUUGAUAUUCAGUACUCUGUGUGGGGAAAGCCUUUUUUUUCUUUUCUGAAUUCCAGUAAUUGUCUUGUUUGUAGUCCCUUGCUGCAGACCUUUGCCUCCUGCCAACUGCUUGCCAGACGUGGUCUCAAUGUUAAGAAGGGAGAGGUUCCCAGAGAGCAUAAGAUAUAUAUUGAAAUCAAACAUUUUUCUAAAACUAUUGUUUUCCAAUUUCCACUAAAUCAUACCUUUUGUGACCCUUCUUACUCAGUGGAUUUCAAAACACUUAGCAAAAGAAUAACUAAAAUAAAAAGUCAUUACUCACAGAUGCUUUGCACACCUGAAGGGUAAAGUUGGUUUUUCUUUUGUGUGUUAUUUAUACCAAUGACACACCAUUUCUUUAUUAUUUUUGAGUUUCAUUCUUUAGGUUAACUGGCUCCACUUUGAUUUCUGCUGCUCAGCUAUGACACAACAAUUGAAUUUAAGUAUCAGCCUAUUACUUACUCUGUAUGUUUCAAAAUUCAAGGUCAGAAUAAAAAAUUAGAAAACAAAUG